RNAcentral lists this transfer RNA (74 nucleotides) under Phycisphaerales bacterium. RNAcentral describes it as "tRNA-Val". It matches the Rfam family "tRNA". From Rfam's summary of the family: Transfer RNA (tRNA) molecules are approximately 80 nucleotides in length. Their secondary structure includes four short double-helical elements and three loops (D, anti-codon, and T loops). Lineage: Bacteria; Pseudomonadati; Planctomycetota; Phycisphaerae; Phycisphaerales. The record is from RNAcentral.
GGGCGAGUAGCUCAAUCGGCCAGAGCAUCCGCCUUACACGCGGAAGGUUCCCGGUUCGACCCCGGGCUCGCCCA